UGAGGAAUAUUGCGCAAUGGGCGAAAGCCUGACGCAGCGACGCCGCGUGGAGGAUGAAGGUUUUCGGAUUGUAAACUCCUGUUAAGUGGGAAGAAACGACAAAAUAUAAUACAUUUUGUAACUGACGGUACCAUUAAAUGAAAGCACCGGCUAACUUCGUGCCAGCAGCCGCGGUAAUACGAGGGGUGCAAGCGUUAUUCGGAAUUAUUGGGCGUAAAGGGUGCGUAGGCGGCGUAUUAAGUCAACUGUUAAAACCUCCAGCCUAACUGGAGAUCAGCAGUAGAUACUGGUAUGCUAGAGGAUGGAAGAGAGAAGUGGAAUUCUUGGAGUAGCGGUGGAAUGCGUAGAUCUCAAGAGGAACACCAAUGGCGAAGGCAGCUUCUUGGUCCAUAUCUGACGCUGAUGCACGAAAAGCGUGGGGAGCAAACAGGAUUAGAUACCCUGGUAGUCCACGCCGUAAACGAUGAUCACUAGAUGUUAAUUCUGCUUGCAGAAUUUAGUGUCGUAGCUAACGCGAUAAGUGAUCCGCCUGGGGGACUACGGUCGCAAGAUAAAACUCAAAUGAAUUGACGGGGUCAUAGCUGUUUCCUG
Molecule: ribosomal RNA, 591 nt
Filed under: uncultured bacterium
Lineage: Bacteria
Description: partial 16S ribosomal RNA
Rfam family: Bacterial small subunit ribosomal RNA
Source: RNAcentral